Molecule: transfer RNA, 82 nt
Filed under: Thelonectria olida
Lineage: Eukaryota; Fungi; Ascomycota; Sordariomycetes; Hypocreales; Nectriaceae
Rfam family: tRNA
About the family: Transfer RNA (tRNA) molecules are approximately 80 nucleotides in length.
Source: Rfam by way of RNAcentral
GCCCCGUUGGCUAAGUGGUAUAGCGUCUCACUAGUAAAGUGAUGAGAUGAGAAGAUCACUGGUUCGAUUCCAGUACGGGGCA